ACACUGACAAGUUCUUACAAAAAUUCCAACAUUAUUGCAAACAUUGAAUGCAACACAUACCGUAACCUAGCAACUAACCCACAAUGCCUUGCGUUGAGGAGACGCAUUUGAAAAGUUAACAUUAGCAGUUCUAUACAGGCGAAAAUAGCAGCAUGUCUUUUUCUAUCCUGAAACGACAAAUCGGUGAGGAAAACCGUCGGUUUAAUCCUGCGUGGACUGACAAGUAUUUAUUUAUUUACCACCAAGUCCGAACGCCAAACCAAUGCGUUUACUCUGCAACGAGUGCUUUGCAGCGCUGAAAGAUUAUAAUGUCCGAAGACACCACGUUGGAAAAACAUGCUGCGUUUCGGACAAACUUUCCCGAGGGAUGUCAUGAGAGAGCGGCUAUAAUUCAAAGUUUGACUGCAUCUUACAACCGGAGCUGUACUACAAUGAAGCGGACCUGCACAGCUCAGGAAAGGGCCACGAAAAAGAGGCCGUUCACAGACUCAGAAACUGUGAAGGACUGCAUGUUGGCUGUCGUGGAUGAAGUUUUAACGGACGGUAAAGUUAAGACGAGUGUGACAUCUGCUAACAAACAGGUCUGACACGUCAAACAUUCUCGCCACAGAUGUCUUCCAGACAUGGUUUCCCAGAGACUAUGGGUUGAGGAGGAAUUGGAAGUUUGUCGGCUUAGACCUGGUGUCAUUCCAUCAGUGUUAAACUUCCCGGCUCAUCUUGGAAGAGUAUGUGCCAGAAAGACCACAACCAAGCAGCCUUGAGAUCUUAGACAGCGUCUCCCUCAGGUCCCUCUCUAUCUCCCCACACAUCCACCAACCACUGGAACACAUCUCCAAAGUUCUGCUGGGCCAGCUCAGCUUCCCCUCAGAAGAAGUUCCACCAGAUGAAGGAGCCUUUUGAGAGGCAGCUGGCAUCGUGAUUGGACUGUACUUUGGUCUGUUCCAAUCCAGCUUCAGCUCCAGAGACGGCAGGCGGGACAAGUCAACGGAGGCCGGGUGGACGAAGGCAUGAAGCUGAGUACAAUACAGAAAACAACAGAGGAGGAGUGCAGCAGCCCAGGGCCAGAACAAACAGAGUAGCAUCAUAUGUCUCUUAGAAAACAUCAUAGUAUAGCCUUUGGUAUGAAAAAACGCCAUAAUAUACAUCAUAUAUUGUACAAAUAACAAGUCAAAGGAAAGAGACAUCAACUGUAGAAUUGUAGUAAUUGUGGGCUGACUGAUUUACUGAUUAUCAGUAUUUUAAUUUGUACUGAUUUACGGUAAUAAAUACAUUUAAAAAUGGUGCUACUUUGGCUCUGAACCUUUAUCUACCUGUGGUCACUCUGCCUUCUGGAGUGAUUUGAUUGGUUAUAUGUCACGAAUAAAACUCUAACAUCUGUAAACAAAAAAAAAAUCAUAUGAACUAAGUUUUCUGUUAGUUUGUGUUCUUCUAAGUUUAACUCCAAGAUUUUAAAUACUUUCAUUUACUGCAAAUGAAUAUCUACUCCAAAUGUCUCACUAAUAAUCAUUAUCAGCCUUAAAAACCCACAAAACAUCCCUCUAUACUCAACCACACUUAGUACAGUCCGGUUCCCCCUCUAUAAAUCUGCUUGGAAUCUUCCACUUCCUGUUUGUCAAAGUGGCCUUCUACCUGGACAGGUUUUGUUGGAGCUCAUGCAACAAACAUUUUGGGUAACUGCACUUUAAUAUGGAUGGAUGACACUGAAUUAGAGUCUGUAUUAAUGAGACUGAGUUAAGAUGUGUAGCUCUGUCAUUAAAUAGGAAAUUAUUUCUCAAAGUCUGAAAUGUUUGCUAGGUUAGUGUCCCACAUGUUCUUUGGCUCAGCUAAAGCUAACUCUCUCCAUAUUCUGGAUCUCUUGAGUUACUUGUUGUUAAAAUAUCUUGCUAGAGGUGCUGAAGCUCAGAAAGUCUGAGAUGUUUGUUCAAAAUAAGCUCAUUCUCAAGUCUUACCUGAACUGUCCUCUUUUGUUUGAACUUUCCCUAAACUUAGGAGUUAAUGACAGAGCAGCACAUCCAGACUCAGUCUCAUUUAUGUAGAGAUUAAACUUCAGUGUCAUUCACUGAUGUUAAAGUGCAGUUUUUCAAAUGUUUGUUGCACAUGCUCCCGACCAAACCAGUUCAGGUGGAAGACGAUGUGAAGAGAAAGCUCCAGAGGAUGAAUAUCACACAUUUACGUUGGAAAUAAAUGUCCUUUAAUUAGACAUUGUCAUGGAAAAGUUGGAUUUCCCUUUAAUGAUGUUCAAAUCUUUGUUGAGUGUUUUGUUGAUGUUUGUUUCUAAAUGUUUUUUGACACUUGGCCCCAAAGAUUAAAACCUUUUACGGCUCACAAGCUGCAACAAUUCACACAUCAUCAACUAUCUUUCUGACUAAACUGAGAUAAAAAGUGAAAAACUCUCUGAUUCCUGCAUCAUGAAUGUAAAUCUUUUUGGUUUUUAUGACAGUAAACUGAAUAUAUUUGGGCUUGACAUUUUAUAAACCAAAGCAAGAAAUGAAUUACUGGAGAAAACGACAGAUUAAUGGACAAAGAAAAUGUGUUUUCUAACAUAUAUGGCUGAAUUACUCCAACAUUACAAGAUACAUACAAUUUUAAUUUAAUUUUAUUUAUAUAACGCCAGUUACAGGUCAAAUUAUCUCAAGA
Amphiprion ocellaris (clown anemonefish) is the source of this 2637-nucleotide long non-coding RNA. The record is from Ensembl. NCBI's taxonomy places the organism in Eukaryota, Metazoa, Chordata, Actinopteri, Pomacentridae.